GACGAACGCUGGCGGCGUGCCUAAUACAUGCAAGUUGAGCGAUGAAGAUUGGUGCUUGCACCAAUUUGAAGAGCAGCGAACGGGUGAGUAACGCGUGGGGAAUCUGCCUUUGAGCGGGGGACAACAUUUGGAAACGAAUGCUAAUACCGCAUAAUAACUUUAAACAUAAGUUUUAAGUUUGAAAGAUGCAAUUGCAUCACUCAAAGAUGAUCCCGCGUUGUAUUAGCUAGUUGGUGAGGUAAAGGCUCACCAAGGCGAUGAUACAUAGCCGACCUGAGAGGGUGAUCGGCCACAUUGGGACUGAGACACGGCCCAAACUCCUACGGGAGGCAGCAGUAGGGAAUCUUCGGCAAUGGACGAAAGUCUGACCGAGCAACGCCGCGUGAGUGAAGAAGGUUUUCGGAUCGUAAAACUCUGUUGGUAGAGAAGAACGUUGGUGAGAGUGGAAAGCUCAUCAAGUGACGGUAACUACCCAGAAAGGGACGGCUAACUACGCG
Molecule: ribosomal RNA, 497 nt
Filed under: uncultured bacterium
Lineage: Bacteria
Description: partial 16S ribosomal RNA
Rfam family: Bacterial small subunit ribosomal RNA
Source: RNAcentral